This 404-nucleotide long non-coding RNA is filed under the name Bos taurus (domestic cattle). Its description in RNAcentral is "long non-coding RNA NONBTAT015311". The record is from RNAcentral. Lineage: Eukaryota; Metazoa; Chordata; Mammalia; Artiodactyla; Bovidae.
ACAGAAUUUUAUUUUAUGAGGGAAGAAGAAAACUUAGGGGUUUAACUGUGUUUUACAGUUUAGUGUAUCGUCUUCUUAAGACCUCCCUUUUGCUGUUGGCAAAAUAAAGUAAGUUUCGGUUAAAUAUUGACUUUUAUUUUCAAGGCCCAGCAACAGAUGCUGACCAAAUAUAUACCAACAGCACCACUGAGGGUGCUUUUAAUAUUGAGGUCCCAGUGAAAAUGUGUUUAAAUGUCGAACAUCCAUUAUAUCACUUUCUCUGCAGUCUAGAUAAAUAUUACUAACUUGCUACCUAAAAACUGAGCAGCUCGGCGAACUAACCAAUUUGUGCUGGGUCCAGUUAGAAAAACUGAAGUAUCAGGCAUUCGAUUUUCCUGUUAUGCUGUGUUCUCAGUGUAAAUUCA